AACGCUGGCGGCGUGCUUAACACAUGCAAGUCGAACGGAAAGGCCCUGCUUUUGUGGGGUGCUCGAGUGGCGAACGGGUGAGUAACACGUGAGUAACCUGCCCUUGACUUUGGGAUAACUUCAGGAAACUGGGGCUAAUACCGGAUAGGAGCUCCUGCUGCAUGGUGGGGGUUGGAAAGUUUCGGCGGUUGGGGAUGGACUCGCGGCUUAUCAGCUUGUUGGUGGGGUAGUGGCUUACCAAGGCUUUGACGGGUAGCCGGCCUGAGAGGGUGACCGGCCACAUUGGGACUGAGAUACGGCCCAGACUCCUACGGGAGGCAGCAGUGGGGAAUAUUGCACAAUGGGCGGAAGCCUGAUGCAGCAACGCCGCGUGCGGGAUGACGGCCUUCGGGUUGUAAACCGCUUUCGCCUGUGACGAAGCGUGAGUGACGGUAAUGGGUAAAGAAGCACCGGCUAACUACGUGCCAGCAGCCGCGGUGAUACGUAGGGUGCGAGCGUUGUCCGGAUUUAUUGGGCGUAAAGGGCUCGUAGGUGGUUGAUCGCGUCGGAAGUGUAAUCUUGGGGCUUAACCCUGAGCGUGCUUUCGAUACGGGUUGACUUGAGGAAGGUAGGGGAGAAUGGAAUUCCUGGUGGAGCGGUGGAAUGCGCAGAUAUCAGGAGGAACACCAGUGGCGAAGGCGGUUCUCUGGGCCUUUCCUGACGCUGAGGAGCGAAAGCGUGGGGAGCGAACAGGCUUAGAUACCCUGGUAGUCCACGCUGUAAACGGUGGGUACUAGGUGUGGGGUCCAUUCCACGGGUUCCGUGCCGUAGCUAACGCUUUAAGUACCCCGCCUGGGGAGUACGGCCGCAAGGCUAAAACUCAAAGGAAUUGACGGGGCCCCGCACAAGCGGCGGAGCAUGCGGAUUAAUUCGAUGCAACGCGUAGAACCUUACCUGGGUUUGACAUGGAUCGGGAGUGCUCAGAGAUGGGUGUGCCUCUUUUGGGGUCGGUUCACAGGUGGUGCAUGGCUGUCGUCAGCUCGUGUCGUGAGAUGUUGGGUUAAGUCCCGCAACGAGCGCAACCCUUGUUCACUGUUGCCAGCACGUUAUGGUGGGGACUCAGUGGAGACCGCCGGGGUCAACUCGGAGGAAGGUGGGGAUGACGUCAAGUCAUCAUGCCCCUUAUGUCCAGGGCUUCACGCAUGCUACAAUGGCUGGUACAGAGAGUGGCGAGCCUGUGAGGGUGAGCGAAUCUCGGAAAGCCGGUCUCAGUUCGGAUUGGGGUCUGCAACUCGACCUCAUGAAGUCGGAGUCGCUAGUAAUCGCAGAUCAGCAACGCUGCGGUGAAUACGUUCCCGGGGCUUGUACACACCGCCCGUCAAGUCAUGAAAGUUGGUAACACCCGAAGCCGGUGGCCUAACCGUUGUGGGGGAGCCGUCGAAGGUGGGACUGGUGAUUA
Molecule: ribosomal RNA, 1438 nt
Filed under: uncultured organism
Description: partial small subunit ribosomal RNA
Rfam family: Bacterial small subunit ribosomal RNA
Source: RNAcentral